GGUCCUAGCUCAGUGGUAGAGCACUCGCCUAGCAUGUGUGAGGCCCUGGAUUCGAUCCUCAGCACCA
RNAcentral lists this transfer RNA (67 nucleotides) under Marmota monax (woodchuck). Its description in RNAcentral is "tRNA.Ala". The record is from RNAcentral. Lineage: Eukaryota; Metazoa; Chordata; Mammalia; Rodentia; Sciuridae.